Molecule: ribosomal RNA, 413 nt
Filed under: uncultured bacterium
Lineage: Bacteria
Description: bacterial SSU rRNA
Rfam family: Bacterial small subunit ribosomal RNA
Source: RNAcentral
GUGCCAGCAGCCGCGGUAAUACGUAGGGGGCGAGCGUUGUCCGGAAUUACUGGGCGUAAAGGGCGUGUAGGCGGCCUUUCAAGUCGGCUGUGAAAGUCCCCGGCUCAACCGGGGGAUUGCAGUCGAAACUGGGGGGCUUGAGUGCAGGAGAGGGGGGUGGAAUUCCCGGUGGAGCGGUGAUAUGCGUAGAUAUCGGGAGGAACACCGGUGGCGAAGGCGACCUUCUGGCCUGUUACUGACGCUGAGGCGCGAAAGCCAGGGGAGCGAACAGGAUUAGAUACCCUGGUAGUCCUGGCUGUAAACGCUGGGUACUAGGUGUAGGGGGUUUAGAUACCUUCUGUGCCGUAGUUAACGCAUUAAGUACCCCGCCUGGGGAGUACGGUCGCAAGGCUAAAACUCAAAUAAAUUGGCGG